GAAAUGCAGCAUGCUGCUCGACACGAUUAUCGCAUUAUUAACAACUAAGGCUGCUUGUUGAAUGACGAUUCAACCUGAUCUUCGCUGUACGUAUCGUACAACAAUCUACACGAGUUGUUGGCGAAUGCCUAGCUCUGCAACGUCGUAACUAACUGCUAACGUAAAAGUGAACCAGGAAUUUCAUAUCUACACUAUUCAGAUAUGAGCGGAGCAUUUAAUACAAAUAAACCGCAGAUAACAGUGGAAAACACAAAUAAUGGAUACGUAGAGCUAUAUGUAUAAAUAUGUAUAAGCCGACUGGAAUAAUCACCAUAAUUUAUACAUCUCUGGUGAAACAUUUUUACCAUCAAAAUUUCUCAGCGUAACUCUGGAAAGUCUAUUGUUAGUACAAGUUUAUGAAUUGAGGAACCAGAAUCAGAAUCUACGGAGAAAAAUCUCUUUGUUGUUCAAACAAUUAAAAUAAUUUGAUAAGAAUAAUGAUCUUUACGGAAAUCUGAUGGCAAA
RNAcentral lists this long non-coding RNA (504 nucleotides) under Neodiprion lecontei (redheaded pine sawfly). RNAcentral's name for it is "uncharacterized LOC124296569". Lineage: Eukaryota; Metazoa; Arthropoda; Insecta; Hymenoptera; Diprionidae. The record is from RNAcentral.